UCAAGUUAUUAAGGGUGCAGGGCGGAUGCCUUGGCACUAGGAGCCGAUGAAGGACGUGAUAAGCUGCGAUAAGCUUCGGGGAGUUGCACGUAAACUUUGAUCCGAAGAUUUCCGAAUGAGGAAACUCACUUAGAGUAAUGUCUAAGUAUCAUUAAGUGAAUACAUAGCUUAAUGAGGGGAACUCAGGGAACUGAAACAUCUAAGUACCUGAAGGAAGAGAAAGAAAUUCGAUUCCGUAAGUAGCGGCGAGCGAACGCGGAUUAGCCCAAACCAAUAAAGUUUUCUUUGUUGGGGUUGCGGACAUAUCAUAACGAAGAGGUAUCGUAAUUGAAGAGGUUUGGAAAGACCCACCACAGAAGGUAAUAGUCCUGUAUGUUAAACGAGAAGACUUCAGAUAUGAUCCAGAGUACCACGGGACACGUGAAACCCUGUGGGAAGCAGGAGGGACCACCCUCCAAGGCUAAAUACUACCUAGUGACCGAUAGCGUAUAGUACCGUGAGGGAAAGGUGAAAAGAACCCCGGGAGGGGAGUGAAAUAGAACCUGAAACCCUGCACUUACAAGCUGUGGAAGCACAUUUCUUGUGUGACCGCGUACUUUUUGUAGAACGGGCCAACGAGUUACGUUAAGUAGCAAGGUUAAGCACUUAAGGUGCGGAGCCGUAGCGAAAGCGAGUUUUAACUGAGCGUUCAGUUACUUGACGUAGACCCGAAACCGGGCGACCUACCCAUGAGCAGGAUGAAGCGAAAGUAAAAUUUCGUGGAGGUCCGAACCCACGAGCGUUGAAAAGCUCGGGGAUGACUUGUGGGUAGCGGUGAAAUUCCAAUCGAGCCCGGAGAUAGCUGGUUCUCCCCGAAAUAGCUUUAGGGCUAGCCUCAAGGUGAGAGAUACGGAGGUAGAGCACUGAAUGUCCUAGGGGGUAUUGCACCUACCGAAGACUAUCAAACUCCGAAUGCCGUCAUCUUAUACUUGGGAGUCAGACUGUGGGUGAUAAGAUUCAUAGUCGAAAGGGCAACAGCCCAGAUCGUCAGCUAAGGUCCCUAAAUGUAAGUUAAGUGGUAAAGGAUGUGGGAUUGCACAGACAACCAGGAUGUUGGCUUAGAAGCAGCCACUCAUUCAAAGAGUGCGUAAUAGCUCACUGGUCGAGUGAUCCUGCGCCGAAGAUUUCCGGGGCUAAAACUUACUACCGAAGCUACGGCAUCAUUAUGAUGGGUAGGGGAGCUUCCCAUACGGGUUGAAGCAUGACCGUAAGGACAUGUGGACAGUAUGGGAGUGAGAAUGUUGGCAUGAGUAGCGAGAUGUGGGUGAGAAUCCCACAGGCCGUAAACCCAAGGUUUCCAGGGGAAGGUUCGUCCGCCCUGGGUUAGUCGGGACCUAAGCUGAGGCCGAAAGGCGUAGGUGAUGGACAACAGGUUGAUAUUCCUGUACUACCGAUAACCGUUUGAGAGAAGGGAUGACACAGUAGGAUAAGCUAAGCACACUGUUGGUUAUGUGUGCCCAAGCAUUGAGGCAGUCAAAGCAGGCAAAUCCGCUUUGAUAAUGCUGGGAUGUGAUGGGGAGCGAAAUUUAGUAGCGAAGUAGCUGAUUUCACACUGUCAAGAAAAGUCUCUAUCGAGGUUAAAGGUACCCGUACCGCAAACCGACACAGGUGGGUGAGGAGAGUAUCCUAAGGCCAGCGAGAGAACUGUUGUUAAGGAACUCGGCAAAAUGACCCCGUAACUUAGGGAUAAGGGGUGCCACCAUCCGGUGGCCGCAGAGAAUAGGCCCAAGCGACUGUUUACCAAAAACAUAGGUUUCUGCUAAGUCGCAAGACGAUGUAUAGGAGCUGACGCCUGCCCGGUGCUGGAAGGUUAAGGGGAUCUGUUAGAGCAAUCGAAGCAGUGAACUUAAGCCCCAGUAAACGGCGGCCGUAACUAUAACGGUCCUAAGGUAGCGAAAUUCCUUGUCGGGUAAGUUCCGACCCGCACGAAAGGCGUAACGAUUUGGGCACUGUCUCAACAACAGACUCGGUGAAAUUGUAAUUCCGGUGAAGAUGCCGGAUACCUGCGACAGGACGGAAAGACCCCAUGGAGCUUUACUGUAGCUUGACAUUGGGUCUUGGUACUACAUGUACAGGAUAGGUGGGAGGCUUUGAAACCAGGACGCCAGUUUUGGCGGAGCCAUCCUUGGGAUACCACCCUUGUAGUACUGGGACUCUAACCAUAGGCCAUGAAUCUGGUCUUGGGACACUGUCAGGUGGGCAGUUUGACUGGGGCGGUCGCCUCCCAAAAGGUAACGGAGGCGCUCAAAGGUUCUCUCAGUACGGUCGGAAAUCGUACGUAGAGUGUAAAGGCAAAAGAGAGCUUGAUUGCAAGACAUACAGGUCGAGCAAGGAUGAAAAUCGGACUUAGUGAUCCGGUGGUUCUGCGUGGAAGGGCCAUCGCUCAACGGAUAAAAGCUACCCUGGGGAUAACAGGCUUAUCUCCCCCAAGAGUCCACAUCGACGGGGAGGUUUGGCACCUCGAUGUCGGCUCAUCACAUCCUGGGGCUGUAGUAGGUCCCAAGGGUUGGGCUGUUCGCCCAUUAAAGUGGUACGCGAGCUGGGUUCAGAACGUCGUGAGACAGUUCGGUCCCUAUCCGUCGCAGGCGUAGGAAAUUUGAGAAGACCUGUCCUUAGUACGAGAGGACCGGGAUGGACGUACCUCUGGUGUACCAGUUGUUCUGCCAAGGGCAUGGCUGGGUAGCUAUGUACGGAAUGGAUAAGCGCUGAAAGCAUCUAAGCGCGAAGCCAACUUCAAGAUAAGAUUUCCCACCGCAAGGGUAAGACCCCAGAAAGACUAUCUGGUUGAUAGGUCGAAGGUGUAAGUGCAGCAAUGUAUUUAGCUUAUCGAUACUAAUAGGUCGAGGACUUGACCAA
This 2895-nucleotide ribosomal RNA is filed under the name Clostridioides difficile. RNAcentral describes it as "bacterial LSU rRNA". It matches the Rfam family "Bacterial large subunit ribosomal RNA". Lineage: Bacteria; Bacillati; Bacillota; Clostridia; Peptostreptococcales; Peptostreptococcaceae. The record is from RNAcentral.